CAGCAGCCACGGUAAUACGGAGGGGGCUAGCGUUGUUCGGAAUUACUGGGCGUAAAGCGCACGUAGGCGGCUUGGUAAGUUAGAGGUGAAAGCCUGGAGCUCAACUCCAGAAUUGCCUUCAAGACUGCCGAGCUAGGAGGUGAGAGAGGUAAGUGGAGUUCCCGGUGUAGCGGUGAAAUGCGUAGAGAUCGGGAGGAACAUCAGUGGCGAAGGCGGCCAUCUGGGCCAACACUGACACUGAGGCACGAAAGCGUGGGGAGCAAACAGGAUUAGAUACCCCAGUAGUCCCUGUCUCUUAUAC
This 301-nucleotide ribosomal RNA is filed under the name uncultured bacterium. RNAcentral describes it as "partial 16S ribosomal RNA". It matches the Rfam family "Bacterial small subunit ribosomal RNA", at positions 509 to 807 of the family's 1533-position model. The record is from RNAcentral.